GAGCAGCUAGCUCAACUGUUAGAGCAACGAAUUCUUUAUUCGUGAGAUUGAGGUUCAAGUCCUUGGCUGCUCA
Molecule: transfer RNA, 73 nt
Rfam family: tRNA
About the family: Transfer RNA (tRNA) molecules are approximately 80 nucleotides in length.
Source: Rfam